CCUACGGGAGGCAGCAGUGAGGAAUAUUGGUCAAUGGCCGUAAGGCUGAACCAGCCAAGUCGCGUGCAGGAAGAAGGAUCUAUGGUUUGUAAACUUCUUUUAUAGGGGAAUAAAGGUAUCCACGUGUGGAUAUUUGCAUGUACCCUAUGAAUAAGCAUCGGCUAACUCCGUGCCAGCAGCCGCGGUAAUACGGAGGAUGCGAGCGUUAUCCGGAUUUCUUGGGUUUAAAGGGUGCGUAGGUUGUUUUUUAAGUCAGCGGUGAAAGUUUGUGGCUCAACCAUAAAAUUGCCGUUGAAACUGGAAGACUUGAGUGUGUUUGAGGUAGGCGGAAUGCGUGGUGUAGCGGUGAAAUGCAUAGAGAUCACGCAGAACUCCGAUUGCGAAGGCAGCUUACUAAGCCAUAACUGACACUGAAGCACGAAAGCGUGGGGAGCAAACAGGAUUAGAUACCCCUGUAGUC
RNAcentral lists this ribosomal RNA (460 nucleotides) under uncultured bacterium. RNAcentral describes it as "partial 16S ribosomal RNA". It matches the Rfam family "Bacterial small subunit ribosomal RNA", at positions 338 to 795 of the family's 1533-position model. The record is from RNAcentral.